GUAGGUGGCAAGCGUUGUCCGGGAAUUAUUGGGGCGUAAAGCGCGCGCAGGCGGUUCUUUAAGUCUGAUGUGAAAGCCCACGGGCUCAACCGUGGAGGGUCAUUGGAAACUGGAGAACUUGAGUACAGAAGAGGAAAGCGGAAUUCCACGUGUAGCGGUGAAAUGCGUAGAGAUGUGGAGGAACGCCAGUGGCGAAGGCGGCUUUCUGGUCUGUAACUGACGCUGAGGCGCGAAAGCGUGGGGAGCAAACAGGAUUAGAUACCCUGGUAGUCCACGCCGUAAACGAUGAGUGCUAAGUGUUAGGGGUUUCCGCCCCUUAGUGCUGCAGCUAACGCAUUAAGCACUCCGCCUGGGGAGUACGGCCGCAAAGGCUGA
This 375-nucleotide ribosomal RNA is filed under the name uncultured organism. RNAcentral describes it as "partial 16S ribosomal RNA". It matches the Rfam family "Bacterial small subunit ribosomal RNA", at positions 527 to 897 of the family's 1533-position model. The record is from RNAcentral.